UCACAGAAGUAGACUGUACAGUCGGUGG
This 28-nucleotide small RNA is filed under the name Bombyx mori (domestic silkworm). RNAcentral's name for it is "ovarian small RNA-25006". Lineage: Eukaryota; Metazoa; Arthropoda; Insecta; Lepidoptera; Bombycidae. The record is from RNAcentral.